CAAGCUAAAGCUUUAAAGAAGUAUUUUAUUUACAUUAAAAAGAUUGUUAUUUUACAUAGCUUGA
Molecule: transfer RNA, 64 nt
Filed under: Pissodes strobi
Lineage: Eukaryota; Metazoa; Arthropoda; Insecta; Coleoptera; Curculionidae
Description: tRNA-Val
Source: RNAcentral